GUUUCUAUGGGGUUCGAUGUUGGAGAUUGGGGUUUUUGUAUGGAAUAUCAGCUCCCUGUUCAAGCCAGCUGAAACUUCUGGAGGUGGAGAUGGUGGUUAUAUGCAUUUCUGCCACAUUUGCUGGUGUUUGGCUGGAGUAAGAUGGGCCCCAACCACUGUUAAGUGACAGCUUUGGAGACAAUAUGCAAUAAACAACCAUGAGGAAAAGACCUACAUCAGUGAAGAGAAAGGCUGACUUAUAACUGUUCCACACAUACAAAAUACUAGUAGAAAUGGCUGAGCCUUCAAUUACAAGUAAUAUUAACACUGGCAAGAAGUGGUUAUUAGAAGGAAUUAUAGAUGAAAAAAAACAAAGCAAUGUAUAAAGCCUGAAGCAUUAUGAAAUAAGACUUCAUAAAUUUUGGAAUGGUGUGAAAAGCCACUUAAAUUUUGAGAUUUACCAAAU
This 445-nucleotide long non-coding RNA is filed under the name Pan paniscus (pygmy chimpanzee). Its description in RNAcentral is "lncRNA (ENSPPAG00000044930.1)". Lineage: Eukaryota; Metazoa; Chordata; Mammalia; Primates; Hominidae. The record is from RNAcentral.